AAAAAAGGAACUACCAUAUAUAAUUAACUUGUAUUCAAUGUGCCAUCCUUGUAUGUUUAUAAUAUCUAAUUCUCCUUGUUUAAUUAGUUGAAAAAUGUGUUCUACAGCUUCUGGUACACUCGAUUGCUCACAGGCCAUGUCAUUAUGUCGCUUUACAUUCAAUCAUUGUUAUGAAAGUAGGAUGCUAGCUAAAUACAAAGCACUUUGUGUGUGUUGUAUAUGUAAGAUUAAUUCUGCUUUUGAGAGUCCA
Molecule: unclassified non-coding RNA, 250 nt
Filed under: Hevea brasiliensis (rubber tree)
Lineage: Eukaryota; Viridiplantae; Streptophyta; Magnoliopsida; Malpighiales; Euphorbiaceae
Source: RNAcentral